GCCUGGGUGGCUCAGUCAGUUAAGUGUGUCUGACUUCAGCUCAGGUCAUGAUCUCACGGUUUGUGGGUUCGAGCCCCACAUUGGGCU
This 87-nucleotide transfer RNA is filed under the name Felis catus (domestic cat). It matches the Rfam family "tRNA". From Rfam's summary of the family: Transfer RNA (tRNA) molecules are approximately 80 nucleotides in length. Their secondary structure includes four short double-helical elements and three loops (D, anti-codon, and T loops). Further hydrogen bonds mediate the characteristic L-shaped molecular structure. tRNAs have two regions of fundamental functional importance: the anti-codon, which is responsible for specific mRNA codon recognition, and the 3' end, to which the tRNAs corresponding amino acid is attached (by aminoacyl-tRNA synthetases). tRNAs cope with the degeneracy of the genetic code in two manners: having more than one tRNA (with a specific anti-codon) for a particular amino acid; and 'wobble' base-pairing, i.e. permitting non-standard base-pairing at the 3rd anti-codon position. The record is from Rfam by way of RNAcentral. Lineage: Eukaryota; Metazoa; Chordata; Mammalia; Carnivora; Felidae. RNAcentral also lists the same sequence under 5 other names.